This 862-nucleotide ribosomal RNA is filed under the name Allogalathea elegans. Its description in RNAcentral is "partial 16S ribosomal RNA". The stretch from base 739 to 862 matches the Rfam family "Bacterial large subunit ribosomal RNA", at positions 2473 to 2597 of the family's 2925-position model. The record is from RNAcentral. Lineage: Eukaryota; Metazoa; Arthropoda; Malacostraca; Decapoda; Galatheidae.
GAUAGAUAUUAAUUUAAAUAUUUAAUCUAAGAAUAUAAGGGUAGAGCUUUAUCAUUCAAUAAUAAAUGAAAUAUAAGUUAAUAAGUAUUUAUUUUGAUAAUUAGGUUUUUUAGUGGCCAUAUUUUUAAAGUGUUUUAACUAAUAUAAUUGAAUAAUUUUAUUUAUUAGAUUUUAUUAAAUUAAUAAUAUGUUUUUUAAAAUGGAUAAAUAUUAGAAAUAAUGAAAAUAUUAGUAGAAUUAAUAUAUGAGAAAAAAGAAAAGUAUUAAAAGUAAAAUAUGAAAAUAGUUAAGAAAAAAAUAGAGGAACUCGGCAAAUAAGGUUCUUGCCUGUUUAACAAAAACAUGUCUCUAUGAAGUUAUAUGAAGUCUGACCUGCCCAUUGAAAUUUAUUAAAAGGCCGCGGUAUAUUAACUGUGCAAAGGUAGCAUAAUUAGUAGUUUUUUAAUUGAAGGCUUGUAUGAAAGGUUGGACAAGGGAUAAGCUGUCUUUAUUUUUAUUUUUGAAUUUGUCUUUUAAGUGAAAAGACUUAAAUAAGUUUAAGGGACGAUAAGACCCUAUAAAUCUUUAUAUUAGUUUAAUUUUAUUUUAAAUUUUAAUGUUUAAAAGAGUAAAGUUAAUAUAGUAUUGUAUUGGGGUGAUAGGAAUAAUUAGUAAACUGUUCGAAGGUAUAAACAAAAAUAUUUGAUUAUAAUUAUUAGUAGAUCCUUAGUGGAGAUUACAAGUUUAAGUUACUUUAGGGAUAACAGCGUUAUUUUUUUUGAGAGUUCUAAUCGAAAAAGAAGUUUGCGACCUCGAUGUUGAAUUAAAAUUUCUUUGUGGUGUAGUAGUUACAAGAGAGAGUCUGUUCGACUUUUAAAAUUUU